This 403-nucleotide ribosomal RNA is filed under the name uncultured bacterium. RNAcentral describes it as "partial 16S ribosomal RNA". It matches the Rfam family "Bacterial small subunit ribosomal RNA", at positions 30 to 526 of the family's 1533-position model. The record is from RNAcentral.
AUUGAACGCUGGCGGCAGGCCUAACACAUGCAAGUCGAGCGAGCGGCGGACGGGGGAGUAAUGUAUGGGGACUGUUCGAUAGAGGGGGAUAACUACUGGAAAAGGUGGCUAAUACAGCAUAUUGUCGGAUAACCCAUAUGGGGUUAGCUAGUAGGUAAGGUAAUGGCUUACCUAGGCGACGAUCCCUAGCUGUUCUGAGAGGAUGAUCAGCCACACUGGGACUGAGACACGGCCCAGACUCCUACGGAGGCAGCAGUGGGGAAUAUUGCACAAUGGGCGCAAGCCUGAUGCAGCCAUGCCGCGUGUAUGAAGAAGGCCCUAGGGUUGUAAAGUACUUUCAGUCGGGAGGCGUUACCGACAGAAGAAGCACCGGCUAACUCCGUGCCAGCAGCCGCGGUAAUUC